This 523-nucleotide ribosomal RNA is filed under the name uncultured bacterium. RNAcentral's name for it is "partial 16S ribosomal RNA". It matches the Rfam family "Bacterial small subunit ribosomal RNA", at positions 28 to 523 of the family's 1533-position model. The record is from RNAcentral.
GAUGAACGCUGGCGGCGUGCCUAAUACAUGCAAGUCGAACGCUUUUUCUUUCACCGGAGCUUGCUCCACCGAAAGAAAAAGAGUGGCGAACGGGUGAGUAACACGUGGGUAACCUGCCCAUCAGAAGGGGAUAACACUUGGAAACAGGUGCUAAUACCGUAUAACACUAUUUUCCGCAUGGAAGAAAGUUGAAAGGCGCUUUUGCGUCACUGAUGGAUGGACCCGCGGUGCAUUAGCUAGUUGGUGAGGUAACGGCUCACCAAGGCAACGAUGCAUAGCAGACCCGAGAGGGUGAUCGGCCACACUGGGACUGAGACACGGCCCAGACUCCUACGGGAGGCAGCAGUAGGGAAUCUUCGGCAAUGGACGAAAGUCUGACCGAGCAACGCCGCGUGAGUGAAGAAGGUUUUCGGAUCGUAAAACUCUGUUGUUAGAGAAGAACAAGGAUGAGAGUAAAAUGUUCAUCCCUUGACGGUAUCUAACCAGAAAGCCACGGCUAACUACGUGCCAGCAGCCGCAGUAA